Molecule: non-coding RNA, 93 nt
Filed under: Salmonella enterica subsp. enterica serovar Kentucky
Lineage: Bacteria; Pseudomonadati; Pseudomonadota; Gammaproteobacteria; Enterobacterales; Enterobacteriaceae
Description: antisense sRNA RprA
Rfam family: RprA RNA
About the family: Translational regulation of the stationary phase sigma factor RpoS is mediated by the formation of a double-stranded RNA stem-loop structure in the upstream region of the rpoS messenger RNA, occluding the translation initiation site. Clones carrying rprA (RpoS regulator RNA A) increased the translation of RpoS. The rprA gene encodes a 106 nucleotide regulatory RNA.
Source: RNAcentral
GCGGUAAUCACCAGAUCGCCCGCUUCGCAUUGAUGAAACAACGAAUUGCUGUGUGUAGUCUUUGCCCGUCUCCUACGAUGGGCUUUUUUUUUA